This 74-nucleotide transfer RNA is filed under the name Patescibacteria group bacterium. Its description in RNAcentral is "tRNA-Thr". It matches the Rfam family "tRNA". From Rfam's summary of the family: Transfer RNA (tRNA) molecules are approximately 80 nucleotides in length. Their secondary structure includes four short double-helical elements and three loops (D, anti-codon, and T loops). The record is from RNAcentral.
GCCCAGGUAGCUCAGUUGGCCAGAGCACAAACAUGGUAAGUUUGGGGUCAGCGGUUCGAAUCCGCUCCUGGGCU